GGUUAAGCGACUAAGCGUACACGGUGGAUGCCCUGGCAGUCAGAGGCGAUGAAGGACGUGCUAAUCUGCGAAAAGCGUCGGUAAGGUGAUAUGAACCGUUAUAACCGGCGAUGUCCGAAUGGGGAAACCCAGUGCAAUUCGUUGCACUAUCGUUAACUGAAUACAUAGGUUAACGAGGCGAACCGGGGGAACUGAAACAUCUAAGUACCCCGAGGAAAAGAAAUCAACCGAGAUUCCCCCAGUAGCGGCGAGCGAACGGGGAGCAGCCCAGAGUCUGAAUCAGCUUGUGUGUUAGUGGAACGGUCUGGAAAGUCCGACGGUACAGGGUGAUAGUCCCGUACACCAAAAUGCACAGGCUGUGAACUCGAAGAGUAGGGCGGGACACGUGGUAUCCUGUCUGAAUAUGGGGGGACCAUCCUCCAAGGCUAAAUACUCCUGACUGACCGAUAGUGAACCAGUACCGUGAGGGAAAGGCGAAAAGAACCCCGGCGAGGGGAGUGAAAAAGAACCUGAAACCGUGUACGUACAAGCAGUGGGAGCACCUUCGGGUGUGACUGCGUACCUUUUGUAUAAUGGGUCAGCGACUUAUAUUCUGUAGCAAGGUUAACCGUAUAGGGGAGCCGCAGGGAAACCGAGUCUUAACUGGGCGUUAAGUUGCAGGGUAUAGACCCGAAACCCGGUGAUCUAGCCAUGGGCAGGUUGAAGGUUGGGUAACACUAACUGGAGGACCGAACCGACUAAUGUUGAAAAAUUAGCGGAUGACUUGUGGCUGGGGGUGAAAGGCCAAUCAAACCGGGAGAUAGCUGGUUCUCCCCGAAAGCUAUUUAGGUAGCGCCUCGUGAAUUCAUCUUCGGGGGUAGAGCACUGUUUCGGCUAGGGGGUCAUCCCGACUUACCAACCCGAUGCAAACUACGAAUACCGAAGAAUGUUAUCACGGGAGACACACGGCGGGUGCUAACGUCCGUCGUGAAGAGGGAAACAACCCAGACCGCCAGCUAAGGUCCCAAAGUCAUGGUUAAGUGGGAAACGAUGUGGGAAGGCACAGACAGCCAGGAUGUUGGCUUAGAAGCAGCCAUCAUUUAAAGAAAGCGUAAUAGCUCACUGGUCGAGUCGGCCUGCGCGGAAGAUGUAACGGGGCUAAACCAUGCACCGAAGCUGCGGCAGCGACACUAUGUGUUGUUGGGUAGGGGAGCGUUCUGUAAGCCUGCGAAGGUGACCUGUGAGGGUUGCUGGAGGUAUCAGAAGUGCGAAUGCUGACAUAAGUAACGAUAAAGCGGGUGAAAAGCCCGCUCGCCGGAAGACCAAGGGUUCCUGUCCAACGUUAAUCGGGGCAGGGUGAGUCGACCCCUAAGGCGAGGCCGAAAGGCGUAGUCGAUGGGAAACAGGUUAAUAUUCCUGUACUUGGUGUUACUGCGAAGGGGGGACGGAGAAGGCUAUGUUAGCCGGGCGACGGUUGUCCCGGUUUAAGCAUGUAGGCUGGUU
RNAcentral lists this ribosomal RNA (1482 nucleotides) under Klebsiella pneumoniae. RNAcentral describes it as "partial 23S ribosomal RNA". It matches the Rfam family "Bacterial large subunit ribosomal RNA", at positions 1 to 1530 of the family's 2925-position model. The record is from RNAcentral. RNAcentral also lists the same sequence under 5 other names. Lineage: Bacteria; Pseudomonadati; Pseudomonadota; Gammaproteobacteria; Enterobacterales; Enterobacteriaceae.